AUUAUUACGUCAGUGAAGGAGGUCGUGACAAGCGGCAAUCCUGGUCUGGCUGAUGCUCCAAUUGCACUUGUCCCGGCCUGCUCAGACUGACCUCUCACGUC
RNAcentral lists this microRNA precursor (101 nucleotides) under Capitella teleta. Its description in RNAcentral is "microRNA cte-mir-92c precursor". Its record names the gene cte-mir-92c. The record is from miRBase by way of RNAcentral. Lineage: Eukaryota; Metazoa; Annelida; Polychaeta; Capitellidae.